This 498-nucleotide ribosomal RNA is filed under the name uncultured bacterium. RNAcentral describes it as "partial 16S ribosomal RNA". It matches the Rfam family "Bacterial small subunit ribosomal RNA", at positions 29 to 523 of the family's 1533-position model. The record is from RNAcentral.
AUUGAACGCUGGCGGCAUGCCUUACACAUGCAAGUCGAACGGUAACGCGGGGCGACCUGGCGACGAGUGGCGAACGGGUGAGUAAUGCAUCGGAACGUGCCCAGUAGUGGGGGAUAGCCCGGCGAAAGCCGGAUUAAUACCGCAUACGACCUACGGGUGAAAGGGGGGGAUCGCAAGACCUCUCGCUAUUGGAGCGGCCGAUGUCAGAUUAGCUAGUUGGUGGGGUAAAAGCCUACCAAGGCGACGAUCUGUAGCUGGGCUGAGAGGACGACCAGCCACACUGGGACUGAGACACGGGCCAGACUCCUACGGGAGGCAGCAGUGGGGAAUUUUGGACAAUGGGCGAAAGCCUGAUCCAGCCAUGCCGCGUGCGGGAAGAAGGCCUUCGGGUUGUAAACCGCUUUUGUCAGGGAAGAAAUCUUCUGAGUUAAUACCUCGGGAGGAUGACGGUACCUGAAGAAUAAGCACCGGCUAACUACGUGCCAGCAGCCGCCGUAA